RNAcentral lists this ribosomal RNA (433 nucleotides) under uncultured bacterium. RNAcentral describes it as "partial 16S ribosomal RNA". It matches the Rfam family "Bacterial small subunit ribosomal RNA", at positions 29 to 507 of the family's 1533-position model. The record is from RNAcentral.
AACGAACGCUGGCGGCAUGCCUAACACAUGCAAGUCGAACGAGACCUUCGGGUCUAGUGGCGCACGGGUGCGUAACGCGUGGGAACCUGCCCUUAGGUUCGGAAUAACUCCCCGAAAGGGGUGCUAAUACCGGAUAAUGUCUUCGGACCAAAGAUUUAUCGCCUUUGGAUGGGCCCGCGUUGGAUUAGCUAGUUGGUAGGGUAAAAGCCUACCAAGGCGACGAUCCAUAGCUGGGCAGAGAGGAUGAUCAGCCACACUGGGACUGAGACACGGCCCAGACUCCUACGGGAGGCAGCAGUGGGGAAUAUUGGACAAUGGGCGAAAGCCUGAUCCAGCAAUGCCGCGUGAGUGAUGAAGGCCUUAGGGUUGUAAAGCUCUUUUACCCGGGAUGAUAAUGACAGUACCGGGAGAAUAAGCUCCGGCUAACUCCGUG